Molecule: transfer RNA, 21 nt
Filed under: Sekanama sanguinea
Lineage: Eukaryota; Viridiplantae; Streptophyta; Magnoliopsida; Asparagales; Asparagaceae
Description: Drimia sanguinea partial transfer RNA-Phe
Source: RNAcentral
GUCGGAUAGCUCAGUUGUAAG